This 287-nucleotide ribosomal RNA is filed under the name uncultured bacterium. Its description in RNAcentral is "partial 16S ribosomal RNA". It matches the Rfam family "Bacterial small subunit ribosomal RNA", at positions 335 to 640 of the family's 1533-position model. The record is from RNAcentral.
UCCCUACGGGGGGCAGCAGUGGGGGAUAUUGCACAAUGGGGGAAACCCUGAUGCAGCGACGCCGCGUGAGUGAAGAAGUAUUUCGGUAUGUAAAGCUCUAUCAGCAGGAACGAGACAAGACGGUACCUGACUAAGAAGCCCCGGCUAACUACGUGCCAGCAGCCGCGGUAAUACGUAGGGGGCAAGCGUUAUCCGGAUUUACUGGGUGUAAAGGGAGCGUAGGCGGCUGUGUAAGCCAGAAGUGAAAGCCCGAGGCUCAACCACGGGACUGCUUUGGAACUACAUGG